RNA transcript from Ictalurus punctatus (channel catfish), 2591 nucleotides. RefSeq lists it as uncharacterized. The record is from RefSeq and is a predicted model, not a curated record. NCBI's taxonomy places the organism in Eukaryota, Metazoa, Chordata, Actinopteri, Siluriformes, Ictaluridae. The transcript has 4 exons.
CUGUAAAUGUAAAUGGUGUGAAUAGGGCUAGGGUAACCCAGGUGUCCAGGAGCUCCUUCUGAAGCUCUACACCAUGGAGACACAGUGCUGAGAUGGACGUGUUGUAAAUAAUUAGAUGGAAGGCUGUUUGAUCGUCAGACUGAGACAAAGAUCUUUAUUUAUUUGAUUUUAACAUCAGUGAUUCAGUUCAUGUUGUUUUGGUACUUUAACUACUUCAUGUUAUUGAACCCCAACACAUGUUCCUGUAGUGUUUACUUGUGCAGGAAACUACGUGAGGGACGUAGUGAAGGGAAGUUCAGCUCUGAAUUCGAAGAAGCGUCGAUCGGCAUGCUGCGGAAGUGCUGCACGGGGUGCGCUUCCUGUGUUCUGUGUCUCCUUAUCAUCACACCAUCAGCACAUCAUCAUUCUGGCUUGUUCUGCAAAAACCUUUCUUUUCUCCUCGUCCUCCUCCUCCUCCUCCUCCUCCUCCUCAGUGUUUAGUGUAUAGUUUAUAGUGAACUGAGGGACGCUGAACUCCAGAUGAGCAGAGACGCUGUUGUGUGGCAGGAAAAUGAUCUUGUAUUUUGUUUUCUAUUUUUGAUUUAAUCCAAUAAACGUACAAAUCUGUAACAACAUUGUUUUCGUAAUGCACCAUAGUGAUGUCAUGGCUAUUGAUGUCAAGGCUAACCCUACAACCGGCACCACACGCAGUCCAGCACAGAACAUCAGACAUGAAGAGCGCAAUUUGUGCUUUAAUCUUGAGAAAUGUCGGUAUUUCACCGCAUCACACAUCAAAUACACCUGGUGUUUCGAAAAAAAAGAAAAACGUGAAUGUAGACUGCAAGCGCGUGCCGUGCGGUUUGAUUAUCUCUCUCUCUAACUAUCUCUCACUGCAGAGCUGGAGGAAAACCUUCAGCGAUCCACCGCAUCACUGCACUUCACGGGCAGAGUGGGGUGUCGUUGUUGUUUGAGUUUUGGUGGACACGCUACAGCGUCGGAACACACCGACGUGCACAAGGAGCACCGGAAAUGAAUUCAAGCAGAACUAAAAAUGAGUAUUUCAUGCUACACAACACUCCUUAAAGAUCUACCGCAGAGCUUCGAGAACGGAUUCCGUAACCUGAAAAGGCCUAAAAUUGUGCAGAUCUCUUCCUCUUAGCUGCUUGUGAUGGAUGAAGAUCAGUCUGAAGUGGAGAUGCUUGAACUUUCUGGAGUUUUGGAAAACUGACCAGCCCGUGGACCGGCCCGUGGACCGGCACGUGGACCAGCCCGUGGACCGGCACGUGGACCAGCCCGUGGACCGGCACGUGGACCAGCCCGUGGACCGGCCCGUGGUUGUGAAUCAGUUGUUAUUUAAACCUUGUAAUCGAACAAAUCUCUCUACAAGUGAAAAUAUUACUUCAUGUACCCACAACUGAACACAAGCCCGACGUCCCACUGAGAUAAGAUCAUCUACAUGUCAGGGGAGGGGUGAUGAACACACGGCAGUGCACCUGUGUAUAUGACAGAGCAGUGAUCAAACCCAUCUCAGAAUCUCUACAGGACCAGGUUAAGGAUCAUCUCUGACUUGCUGUCAUGGCCGAAAUGAACGUUCUCGCCGAUUUUCUGCAGAAGCCGCUGGGGAAAAUGGGGAUCAUCAGCCUUUUACUUUACGCUUUCGAGGAAAACAUAGACGAUGAUUUUAUUUGUCCUUGCGAACGAGUCGAGAACAUAGUGACGUCUCUUUUGUACGGCGUAGUGCCUUCCAUUGGGUCCUUCUUCGUGUCUUAUCGUGUCAUGGACUCACCUGACCGCAGUCAGUAUAAAUGUCUGUACUCUGUCCUCACAGCUGUAGUCUGGAUGGUUCUCUGCCUAAUCGACGGACGCUACCUGACCUGCGCGCUUUCGGGUUCGGAAGGCAAGUACACCGAAACCGACACGUUAAAAUGGUGCAUGCCUUCUGAAGACAACGCAACGCUCCUUUUGGAGAGCGAGUACAAGACUCAGGUGUUGAUGUCCAAGUCUCAGGAAAUAGGUUUCUACGUGAUCGUGAUUAUGAUUGUUUCCUUUCUCGUGGCUGGAUUUCGGAAGUGCAGAACAAACACGAGCACAUCUGAGAUGGAAAUGUCAUAAGUUAAACUGCACGGUGGAAAUUCAGCGUACGGCGUCCUUGUAAAAAUCAACGUUCCUCUUGUGCUUUAAAUCAUCAUAAUCAUAAUCAUAAUCAUAAUCAUAACUUCUAUAUUUAGCUAAAAUUCUAUCUUGUCCGAUUGUUCACACUUCAGAGCUGACCUCACUGUUACAGUCUGAAGUGUUUUGUUUUCUGCUGUAACUUUACAUCUUAAACAAAAAAAUCAAUUUCCUUUAUUUUUUGUGUUUUAUGUUAGCUAGGGUUCUUUUUUCUUUUCCACUGAACCAAAUGAAAACGCAUAACAAUGUAGGAACGAAUUCCGGCUAAACGUUUAUACACAUGUCGUGUGUUUUUAGAGAUGAUAUACAGUAUAUGUAUACGUGUACAAUGCACUUCAUGACUUCGGUAUUUUACGGUUAUAUCAUGAUAAAGAUUCGUUUUUGAGAUAUGAGAAGUUUUAAUAUUCCAGUAAAAAAAAAUUAAAACUCUAAAGUAUCAUCAA